CUCCCGCCGGCGACCGGCACACGGGUGAGUAACACGUAUGAAACCUGCCCGUAGCAGGGGGAUAAGCGGAAGAAAUUCCGUCUAAUACCGCGUAACAACCCGAGGAGGCAUCUCCUCGGGUUUAAAGGAAGCGAUUCCGGCUACGGAUGGUCAUGCGUCGCAUUAGCUAGUUGGCGGGGUAACGGCCCACCAAGGCGACGAUGCGUAGGGGUUCUGAGAGGAAGGUCCCCCACACUGGUACUGAGACACGGACCAGACUCCUACGGAAGGCAGCAG
This 276-nucleotide ribosomal RNA is filed under the name uncultured bacterium. RNAcentral's name for it is "partial 16S ribosomal RNA". It matches the Rfam family "Bacterial small subunit ribosomal RNA", at positions 82 to 354 of the family's 1533-position model. The record is from RNAcentral.